CCUACGGGAGGCAGCAGUGGGGGAUAUUGCACAAUGGGGGGAACCCUGAUGCAGCGACGCCGCGUGGGUGAAGAAGCGCCUCGGCGCGUAAAGCCCUGUCAGCAGGGAAGAAAAUGACGGUACCUGAAGAAGAAGCCCCGGCUCACUACGUGCCAGCAGCCGCGGUAAUACGUAGGGGGCAAGCGUUAUCCGGAUUUACUGGGUGGAAAGGGGGCGCAGACGGCGAUGCAAGCCAGGAGUGAAAGCCCGGGGCCCAACCCCGGGACUGCUCUUGGAACUGCGUGGCGGGAGUGCAGGAGGGGCAGGCGGAAUUCCUGGUGUAGCGGUGAAAUGCGUAGAUAUCAGGAGGAACACCGGUGGCGAAGGCGGCCUGCUGGACUGCAACUGACGUUGAGGCCCGAAAGCGUGGGGAGCAAACAGGAUUAGAUACCCCAGUAGUC
This 440-nucleotide ribosomal RNA is filed under the name uncultured bacterium. Its description in RNAcentral is "partial 16S ribosomal RNA". It matches the Rfam family "Bacterial small subunit ribosomal RNA", at positions 338 to 795 of the family's 1533-position model. The record is from RNAcentral.